Gastrolobium bilobum is the source of this 106-nucleotide small nucleolar RNA. NCBI's taxonomy places the organism in Eukaryota, Viridiplantae, Streptophyta, Magnoliopsida, Fabales, Fabaceae. The record is from RefSeq and is a predicted model, not a curated record.
AAACCAUGUUGUGGGCAUUUUCUAAGUAGUCCUUUGAAUCUUUCCCAUGCUUCAUAUAAAGAUUAACUUUCUGUUAUCAAAAAAAAAAAAAAGAUUAACUUUCUUU